This 445-nucleotide ribosomal RNA is filed under the name uncultured Glomus. RNAcentral's name for it is "SSU rRNA". It matches the Rfam family "Eukaryotic small subunit ribosomal RNA", at positions 579 to 1028 of the family's 1831-position model. Lineage: Eukaryota; Fungi; Glomeromycota; Glomeromycetes; Glomerales; Glomeraceae. The record is from RNAcentral.
GUAAUUCCAGCUCCAAUAGCGUAUAUUAAAGUUGUUGCAGUUAAAAAGCUCGUAGUUGAAUUUCGGGGUNAGUAGGUUGGUCAUGCCUCNGGUAUGUACUGGUCUCACUGAUUCCUCCUUCCUGAUGAGCCGUAAUGCCAUUAAUUUGGUGUUGCGGGGAAUNUGGACUGUUACUUUGAAAAAAUUAGAGUGUUUAAAGCAAGCUAACGCUUGAAUACAUUAGCAUGGAAUAAUGAAAUAGGACGUUCGAUCCUAUUUUGUUGGUUUCUAGGAUUGACGUAAUGAUUAAUAGGGAUAGUUGGGGGCAUUAGUAUUCAAUUGUCAGAGGUGAAAUUCUUGGAUUUAUUGAAGACUAACUACUGCGAAAGCAUUUGCCAAGGAUGUUUUCAUUAAUCAAGAACGAAAGUUAGGGGAUCGAAGACGAUCAGAUACCGUCGUAGUCUUA